CCUACGGGAGGCAGCAGUAGGGAAUAUUGGGCAAUGGAGGCAACUCUGACCCAGCCAUGCCGCGUGCAGGAUGAAGGCGUUAUGCGUUGUAAACUGCUUUUAUAUAGGAAGAAAUAGACCUUGCGAGGUAAGUUGACGGUACUAUAUGAAUAAGCACCGGCUAACUCCGUGCCAGCAGCCGCGGUAAUACGGAGGGUGCAAGCGUUGUCCGGAUUUAUUGGGUUUAAAGGGUGCGUAGGCGGUUUAUUAAGUCAGUGGUGAAAGACGGUCGCUCAACGAUUGCAGUGCCAUUGAUACUGGUAGACUUGAGUGUGAUUGAGGUAGCUGGAAUGGAUAGUGUAGCGGUGAAAUGCAUAGAUAUUAUCCAGAACACCAAUUGCGUAGGCAAGUUACUAAGUCACAACUGACGCUGAGGCACGAAAGUGUGGGUAUCAAACAGGAUUAGAUACCCUGGUAGUCCACACUGUAAACGAUGAUAACUAACUGUUGGCUUUUGGGUCAGUGGUACAGAGAAAUCGUUAAGUUAUCCACCUGGGGAGUACGCCGGCAACGGUGAAACGUCAAAGGAAUUGACGGNGNGAGAGNGCGAGGACGACGACGAGGGAGGAGG
This 610-nucleotide ribosomal RNA is filed under the name uncultured bacterium. RNAcentral's name for it is "bacterial SSU rRNA". It matches the Rfam family "Bacterial small subunit ribosomal RNA", at positions 338 to 951 of the family's 1533-position model. The record is from RNAcentral.